Long non-coding RNA from Ipomoea nil (Japanese morning glory), 353 nucleotides. RefSeq lists it as uncharacterized. Lineage: Eukaryota; Viridiplantae; Streptophyta; Magnoliopsida; Solanales; Convolvulaceae. The transcript is spliced from 2 exons. The record is from RefSeq and is a predicted model, not a curated record.
UAUCAGUAUUUAUUUAGCAGAAGAAAAAUCUUUACAGUAUGAAAAGCUUUCAGAUUGUUCUUGUUAUGUUAUCCUUCGCUCUCACUCUGAACCCAGGUUCAAUGGCGAACGCUAUGGAAGAUGGUCGUGUGCUUUUAGGGCCAGGACCGGUAUGCAUAGGGAUGUGUAGCACUAGUACCCCACCUAAUGAUUGCGACGUUAAGUGCAUUUCAGCAGGCUUUCCUGGUGGGGCUUGUUACGUAAAUGGUCGAGGUAGUUGGUCCUGUUGUUGCAAUCAUAAAUGAUUCAAUUUUGGAUUGAAUUGAAUUGAUUGAUUAUAAUAAACAAUUUUUGAGUUCUUCGACACUUUCAAA